RNAcentral lists this ribosomal RNA (543 nucleotides) under Colletotrichum gloeosporioides. RNAcentral's name for it is "eukaryotic LSU rRNA". The stretch from base 190 to 343 matches the Rfam family "5.8S ribosomal RNA". The record is from RNAcentral. Lineage: Eukaryota; Fungi; Ascomycota; Sordariomycetes; Glomerellales; Glomerellaceae.
CUGCGGAGGGAUCAUUACUGAGUUUACGCUCUAUAACCCUUUGUGAACAUACCUAUAACUGUUGCUUCGGCGGGUAGGGUCUCCGCGACCCUCCCGGCCUCCCGCCUCCGGGCGGGUCGGCGCCCGCCGGAGGAUAACCAAACUCUGAUUUAACGACGUUUCUUCUGAGUGGUACAAGCAAAUAAUCAAAACUUUUAACAACGGAUCUCUUGGUUCUGGCAUCGAUGAAGAACGCAGCGAAAUGCGAUAAGUAAUGUGAAUUGCAGAAUUCAGUGAAUCAUCGAAUCUUUGAACGCACAUUGCGCCCGCCAGCAUUCUGGCGGGCAUGCCUGUUCGAGCGUCAUUUCAACCCUCAAGCUCUGCUUGGUGUUGGGGCCCUACAGCUGAUGUAGGCCCUCAAAGGUAGUGGCGGACCCUCCCGGAGCCUCCUUUGCGUAGUAACUUUACGUCUCGCACUGGGAUCCGGAGGGACUCUUGCCGUAAAACCCCCCAAUUUUCCAAAGGUUGACCUCGGAUCAGGUAGGAAUACCCGCUGAACUUAAG